Molecule: long non-coding RNA, 1638 nt
Organism: Carassius auratus (goldfish)
Lineage: Eukaryota; Metazoa; Chordata; Actinopteri; Cypriniformes; Cyprinidae
Source: Ensembl
GGCGGGAUUCAAUAGCGUCGUCAUCUUGGCGGGCGGAGUGACAGCACGGAAGAGCGCGAAGGACGGAGGCGAACAGCAGCCAGUUUUAUCACCAUCAGCCACGCAGGUUCUGCCAAUCAGCGCCGCGCAGGGGAUCGGCUGUCACUCACGCAGACUGACAGGGAGCUGCGCGGGGUUGACUUGGCAGCAGCUGGAGGCUCGCGAUGGCUUUUGAAAGACUAUGUUCGCCCCUCGUCUGGACUACUGUCUGUUUGGACUAUCUGUUUAACUCGCCCCCUGGAUUAUGUUAGCCGUUGAUUGACCUAUGACUGUUCACUGGACUGCUCUUGUGUCUUGCCCUCAAUAUACUGGUUUGCCGGAGUUCAACCCCGCCUGUGGAGGACCAUGUCUAUGAAUAAAGCUUUGCGUAUGGAUCCCCAUUUCUCGCGUCUCUUUCACUCCGUAACAGAGAACAUCUUGGUUGUAAUCUUGUUGACAUGCCAUGAACAUGAAACACCUUGUAUGAUGAGUCACCUUUAAGUAUGGCAAUUUCGCAUUCAUUCUCUAACAGUGGUUUUUAAACUUUUUAAGGCAGGCAGGUAGCUCAUUUAAUAUAACAGGAAUUCGCUAAUCUAAGAGCUGGUUAAUCGUAAUUAUGUGAAAUUACAUUUUAAAAUGCUCAUAUUCAGACUGCAGUUACUUUUAAUUUGUUAUGUGAUAUUCACACAAUAGCAAUAAAUUAUUAAUUAUUUAUUGAUUCUCCCUAAUUCCUCUUUUUCAUCUUUUAAAUGUUCCUUUCCAAAAUAGCCAACUGCUUAUAGUCUUGUCAAUUUUAUGGACAUUCACAAAAAAAUAAAAAACCUUCAUUAGUCAGGUGGCUACACAGCGUUUGACCACUGGAUUUAUAAAACUGAUUUCAGGUUUAAGAACAUUGCAUUGAUGCUCAUUUUUAUUUGAAUUAUCACUCUCUAUGCUAUUUAACCAUGAUAACUAUAUGUAUUACUGAGUCUUUGAGAGGGGGGUGACUUAUAAAAAUAUAAAAAUGCACAAAUCCAUUGCAUAUAAUGCAGGCAUUUGUAAGCUUUUAUCAUCUGAACCUCUUUCACCAUAUGUAGUUAGUUGAACUACCCCUGAGAUUUUAAAAAUAAAUAUUUAAUUCAUUAAGUAUAAUUUUUGCAUUAUUACGGUUCUCUGAGGCGGGUUAAUUGUCACAUGACCUUAUUAUUUUUUUUUUAGUAAGUGUUUUAUUUUGAUUGAUUUUAUUUUAAAAUGAUUUAUUUUCAUUCCUUAUUUUUAUGAUUUAAUUAAUUAUCAGCUUAAACUAACAAACACCCUCCAGUUUAGGAACACAUAAUGGUAUGUUCAAUGCACUUCAUGUUGUUAAUUACAACAAAUGGAAUUUAUUUUCUUAUUCUUUGUAUUUUUAUAUCAAUAUGGUUCCAAUUAAAUCAGUGUGUUAAACAGGUUAGGUGAAAAGACAUUUAAAAAUAGUCUAAUUAUAUUACCCAAAAAUGUGUAAUGUAAUGGAUUAUGUUACUUACUAUAAUUUUGUCAUGUAAUUUGGUACCCAGUACCCAGAUCUAUGUGUGUGUCAACUUAUAUUGGAUUUAUAUUGAAUUAUAUUUUUAUAAUUAUAUUGAAUAUAUUUGAAUUACAUUU